AUUCCAUUCUCCAGCCAGUGGAACUUUAGAAGCGGAUUAUUACAGUAUAUGCCAAGUAGGACAGAGUCUGAAACUUCGCUUAAAUCAAAACGGAUUACUUCUCUGACUUUCUCUAAGCAAUAACAGAUUUGUCACUUGGCUACUGAAAGGACUUUGAUUAGUUGGAUAUGAUGAUUUUUGUGUGUGUGUGAAGCUGGCAGCCUUUAUUAGAGAUUCAAUUUUAAGAGAUUUAAAACGAAAAGUUUCAAGUAGAAAACACUAUGAAUUCUAUCGUUUUAAAAGAACAACUUCUCACACUAAAUAAAACUAUUUCUAAAUUCCUAAAUUGACUAUUUUGGUUACUUUAAGACAUCUUUUUUUCAUUUCAGGAGAAUUCCUUCACUAGAUGCUUAGUGUUACAGUCUUUUCUGACGAUCAUUAAAAGAAGGAAAAUUCAAUGAUAGUUUAGUGGUACAGUUGACUCUGUUUCUGUAUCAGAAAUAAUUUGCCCGUAUGAACUCAUAACGCCAGUCUUACUCAUUUGCUCAGAUGCAUUCUUCAACAUAUCUAUCUUUAUUUUCUAGCACCACGUGAGACAAGGAGUUGCUAGUUUAGCAGGUCUCUUUGUCUCCAUGCCUGUGACAAGGAUGAAUUACCUGACUCUGUGCCAGGGAGAAGACUCCAGCUCACUUAGCAGCCUCUUUGCCCUUGGAUUCUCACAUAGUGACAUCACUGAGAAGCAGCUGCCUCAAGGAAGUCGUGAAGGAGUUAACUUUACCCACCUGUCCAGAUAGAGUUUGGCUGUUGUUGGAAUAAAACUCAAGACUUCGGGAGAAGGAGCCCUAGU
Molecule: long non-coding RNA, 826 nt
Filed under: Felis catus (domestic cat)
Lineage: Eukaryota; Metazoa; Chordata; Mammalia; Carnivora; Felidae
Description: lncRNA (ENSFCAG00000041867.2)
Source: RNAcentral